This 427-nucleotide ribosomal RNA is filed under the name uncultured Mycoplasma sp. RNAcentral describes it as "bacterial SSU rRNA". It matches the Rfam family "Bacterial small subunit ribosomal RNA", at positions 355 to 774 of the family's 1533-position model. The record is from RNAcentral. Lineage: Bacteria; Bacillati; Mycoplasmatota; Mollicutes; Mycoplasmatales; Mycoplasmataceae.
UAGGGAAUAUUCCACAAUGAGCGAAAGCUUGAUGGAGCGACACAGCGUGCACGAUGAAGGUCUUAUGGAUUGUAAAGUGCUGUUGCAAGGGAAGAAAAAGUAGUUGAGGAAAUGCUUCUACAUUGACGGUACCUUGUUAGAAAGCGAUGGCUAACUAUGUGCCAGCAGCCGCGGUAAUACAUAGGUCGCAAGCGUUAUCCGGAAUUAUUGGGCGUAAAGCGUUCGUAGGCUGUUUAUUAAGUCUGGAGUCAAAUCCCAGGGCUCAACCCUGGCUCGCUUUGGAUACUGGUAAACUAGAGUUGGAUAGAGGUAAGCGGAAUUCCAUGUGAAGCGGUGAAAUGCGUAGAUAUAUGGAAGAACACCAAAGGCGAAGGCAGCUUACUGGGUUUAUACUGACGCUGAGGAACGAAAGCGUGGGGAGCAAACA